RNAcentral lists this ribosomal RNA (483 nucleotides) under Enterococcus sp. oral taxon A43. RNAcentral describes it as "bacterial SSU rRNA". It matches the Rfam family "Bacterial small subunit ribosomal RNA", at positions 28 to 486 of the family's 1533-position model. The record is from RNAcentral. Lineage: Bacteria; Bacillati; Bacillota; Bacilli; Lactobacillales; Enterococcaceae.
GACGAACGCUGGCGGCGUGCCUAAUACAUGCAAGUCGAACGCUUCUUUUUCACCGAACUUCGGUUCAUCGAAAAAGAGGAGUGGCGAACGGGUGAGUAACACGUGGGUAACCUGCCCAUCAGAAGGGGAUAACACUUGGAAACAGGUGCUAAUACCGUAUAAUGCUUUUUCUCGCAUGAGAGCAAGCUGAAAGGCGCUUUUGCGUCACUGAUGGAUGGACCCGCGGUGCAUUAGCUAGUUGGUGAGGUAACGGCUCACCAAGGCCACGAUGCAUAGCCGACCUGAGAGGGUGAUCGGCCACACUGGGACUGAGACACGGCCCAGACUCCUACGGGAGGCAGCAGUAGGGAAUCUUCGGCAAUGGACGAAAGUCUGACCGAGCAACGCCGCGUGAGUGAAGAAGGUUUUCGGAUCGUAAAACUCUGUUGUUAGAGAAGAACAAGGAUGAGAGUAAAAUGUUCAUCCCUUGACGGAUCUAACCAG